This 81-nucleotide transfer RNA is filed under the name Thermoprotei archaeon. RNAcentral's name for it is "tRNA-Trp". Lineage: Archaea; Thermoproteati; Thermoproteota; Thermoprotei. The record is from RNAcentral.
GGGGCCGUGGCCUAGCAAGGUAUGGCGGCGGGCUCCAGACCCGCAGAGAACCGAGUCCACUCGGUUCAGCGGACGGCCCGG